RNAcentral lists this transfer RNA (65 nucleotides) under Microceramus pontificus. RNAcentral describes it as "tRNA-Phe". Lineage: Eukaryota; Metazoa; Mollusca; Gastropoda; Stylommatophora; Urocoptidae. The record is from RNAcentral.
AUUGGGGUAGCUUACAAUAAAAGCGUUAUUUUGAAGAAAUAAAAACAGAUUUUAUCUCUCUAAUG